Choloepus didactylus (southern two-toed sloth) is the source of this 835-nucleotide long non-coding RNA. RefSeq lists it as uncharacterized. NCBI's taxonomy places the organism in Eukaryota, Metazoa, Chordata, Mammalia, Pilosa, Megalonychidae. The transcript is spliced from 5 exons. The record is from RefSeq and is a predicted model, not a curated record.
UCGGGAAGGUUGGCUCGCCGGGAGCGGGGUGGCUGUGCGCUCGUGCGGGCGCCGCGGCUCCCGGGCCGAGCCUCAGAGGCCCCGCGUGUGCUUGUCCGCCAGGGCCGCCGCCGCCGCAGCAGCCGGGGGUCCCGGAGGCCGGGCCGCCGUUUCCCGUGCCCGCCGCGGACAGCGGGCCCACCCGACGCAGCUGGGUGAGGUGAAGCUCACUGCAGCGUGUAGCAGCAGCAGCGUCCCACCACGAGGUGUAAGGUUGCAGCCCUGAGGGUCCCCAGUGUGAUGAGCUGACGACUCGUCUGCGAGCAGUGGCCUCCCACGGGGUGUUAGAGAACUGAGGGCUGGAGAAUGGUGAUCCGGCAAGAUCUUUCAGCCGCUCAGCCCAAGAGGCUGUAACCUCGGCUGAUCAGCCCUGCCGUGGCCGGAGCUGAAGUCCCCAGAGUUGGGGGGUGGCACCGUCAGUUUGGAUUCUGAUGGACUCUGAGAACUUCAGCGGCUCCAUCAUCUGGGGUAACAGCUUGGCUGAAACUUGCUCUACUUGCUGAGUACCAGGCCCUUCUUAGCACCAGAGCCAAGAAAUAAUGUUUUGACAUCUUUUUCUGGAACAGGCAUGUUUAGUAUUAGCUGUUAGAUUCAUGAGUUUUCCAACAUUGUUCCUUGCCAAACUGCCAAAGAGCUGAAAUGUAGAGCUUUGAAAUGUAUUUAUAGGUGAAUACAUUGUAGUAGGUUGUCAGUAAUUCUGGAGGGAGAACUGAGUUUCUUAACCUGGAAACUUCCUGAAGUUGUUGGGGACAUUGCAUGGGUACAAAUACAAAUAAAUAAAUACAAUAAAGAAUUG